UACGAGGGGGGCGAGCGUUGUUCGGAAUUAUUGGGCGUAAAGGGUGCGUAGGCGGUUUGGUAAGUCUUGUGUGAAAUCUACAGGCUCAACUUGUAGUCUGCACGAGAAACUGCCGGGCUUGAGUAUGGGAGAGGUGAGUGGAAUUCCUGGUGUAGCGGUGAAAUGCGUAGAUAUCAGGAGGAACACCUGUGGCGAAAGCGGCUCACUGGACCAUAACUGACGCUGAUGCACGAAAGCUAGGGGAGCGAACGGG
This 253-nucleotide ribosomal RNA is filed under the name uncultured bacterium. Its description in RNAcentral is "partial 16S ribosomal RNA". It matches the Rfam family "Bacterial small subunit ribosomal RNA", at positions 524 to 776 of the family's 1533-position model. The record is from RNAcentral.